UAAAAAACACCUCAAUCCAAUUAUUCUACGAUAUUCUAUAUUCUGCCCCAUGGGGAAGGAUGAGAAGCUUCGACUAAGGUUCGACUCGAGCGAAGCGAGAGAACGUUGCCGCAGGCAACGGCCCGAAGGGCGAGGCGCUUUAGCGCCGAGUAAUCCUUCCCCCACCACCA
This 170-nucleotide unclassified non-coding RNA is filed under the name Klebsiella pneumoniae. RNAcentral describes it as "RtT". The stretch from base 39 to 170 matches the Rfam family "RtT RNA". Rfam says of the family: This family represents a bacterial cis-regulatory element known as RtT RNA. The exact function of RtT is unknown although it is thought that it may be involved in changing the cellular response in relation to amino acid starvation. The record is from RNAcentral. RNAcentral also lists the same sequence under 1 other name. Lineage: Bacteria; Pseudomonadati; Pseudomonadota; Gammaproteobacteria; Enterobacterales; Enterobacteriaceae.